UGGGGAAUCUUAGACAAUGGGCGCAAGCCUGAUCUAGCCAUGCCGCGUGAGUGAUGAAGGCCUUAGGGUCGUAAAGCUCUUUCGCCAGGGAUGAUAAUGACAGUACCUGGUAAAGAAACCCCGGCUAACUCCGUGCCAGCAGCCGCGGUAAUACGGAGGGGGUUAGCGUUGUUCGGAAUUACUGGGCGUAAAGCGCGCGUAGGCGGAUUAGUCAGUCAGAGGUGAAAUCCCAGGGCUCAACCCUGGAACUGCCUUUGAUACUGCUAGUCUUGAGUUCGAGAGAGGUGAGUGGAAUUCCGAGUGUAGAGGUGAAAUUCGUAGAUAUUCGGAGGAACACCAGUGGCGAAGGCGGCUCACUGGCUCGAUACUGACGCUGAGGUACGAAAGUGUGGGGAGCAAACAGGAUUAGAUACCCUGGUAGUCCACACCGUAAACGAUGAAUGCCAGUCGUCGGGCAGUAUACUGUUCGGUGACACACCUAACGGAUUAAGCAUUCCGCCUGGGGAGUACGGUCGCAAGAUUA
RNAcentral lists this ribosomal RNA (523 nucleotides) under uncultured Roseobacter sp. Its description in RNAcentral is "bacterial SSU rRNA". It matches the Rfam family "Bacterial small subunit ribosomal RNA", at positions 355 to 896 of the family's 1533-position model. Lineage: Bacteria; Pseudomonadati; Pseudomonadota; Alphaproteobacteria; Rhodobacterales; Roseobacteraceae. The record is from RNAcentral.